UGAGCAAGUCUGACCUUUAUCAUGCUCCCAUUUGUUUGUACUUUUGAGUCUUUUCAUGACUUGCCCCUCUAUUUCCUCGGCAUUUACCAUAGGGAUGGUAAAGUAGUAGGCUAAGUUGCUCUGACUGAUGAGUUGGGCCUGUAUUAUGUGAAUGGCGAAUGGGCUUUUAAAUGAUGGGUUGUUCAUCGUAUACUUGGCCCUUGAUAGAUGUAGAUAAGCCCAGCGAUCAUCCUUUUGCUCCUUUACCGUCUCGCCGGUUAUUUCCUAACCGUCGAAAGGGUAAACUUCGAGAACAAUUAAUGAUCGCGCCGCUCCAAGACAAAACUGUUCAGUAUCAACGCUCUGCCUCAUAAUAGCCUUUCUUUCUUUCGUUUCGAAUUCCUUCUGUCUUUUGAAGAACUAGCUCUUGUCUGCUCUCUGUCGUCCUGCAACUCCUUCUACGUCUUUUUU
This 450-nucleotide long non-coding RNA is filed under the name Manihot esculenta (cassava). RNAcentral's name for it is "long non-coding RNA (MESC_LNC005630)". The record is from RNAcentral. Lineage: Eukaryota; Viridiplantae; Streptophyta; Magnoliopsida; Malpighiales; Euphorbiaceae.